Molecule: ribosomal RNA, 253 nt
Filed under: uncultured bacterium
Lineage: Bacteria
Description: partial 16S ribosomal RNA
Rfam family: Bacterial small subunit ribosomal RNA
Source: RNAcentral
UACGGAGGAUGCGAGCGUUAUCCGGAAUCACUGGGUUUAAAGGGUGCGUAGGCGGGUUAAUAAGUCAGGGGUGAAAGCUGGUCGCUUAACGAUCAAAUUGCCUCUGAUACUGUUAAUCUUGAAAUAUGAUGAGGUUGGCGGAAUGUGACAUGUAGCGGUGAAAUGCAUAGAUAUGUCAUAGAACACCAAUUGCGAAGGCAGCUGACUGGUCAUUAUUUGACGCUGAGGCACGAAAGCGUGGGGAGCGAACAGG